This 899-nucleotide long non-coding RNA is filed under the name Malus domestica (apple). Its description in RNAcentral is "long non-coding RNA (MDOM_LNC020442)". Lineage: Eukaryota; Viridiplantae; Streptophyta; Magnoliopsida; Rosales; Rosaceae. The record is from RNAcentral.
UGUUUUGGUGUGAGUAUAUGCUUGAAACAUUGAGGACAAUGUUUGAUUUAAGUGUGGGGGGGGUAACCAUUGUUUUGCGUGAAAUUCGUAGAAAUUUAUCACCCAUUACUUCUAGUGUUGUUCCUUGUUGUUUUAAGUAUUUUUAAGCUGUUUUGGAGUGUUUCAGUGUGUUUUGACAUAAAAAUCCAAAAAUUCAUAAAAAUUUGAAAAAUUGUUUUUGAAAAUCCAAAAAAGAGUUGUUUUUGUGCGCUUAUUUGUGUCUUAGGGUACCUUCCAACACAAUGAUAAGGAUUCGGUUUGUAAUUGCAUGACUGUUAAAGAGAGUUAUAAACAUGGAUGAAAGUUUGAUUUACUCUUUAUUUAUGCGUGGUUGUGGUUAUAACUUAUGAAAUCACAUGUGAUCAUAAAAGAAAAAAUUAGUUUUUGUAACAUGCUUGAAGGAAAGAACUCAAACUAACGCUACAACCUUGUGAGACUUGAGCUUAAACGUUUAUUUGGAGAGUUAAAAUCUGUGCAUUCUUGUUUUCUAAAGUCGUUGCAUGAUCUCAUUAUUCUUUGCUUGGUUAUUACUUAGAAGGCGUUUCAUCAUUUAGUUUCAUCAUUUAGUUCCAAAUGCUUGUUGAAAAGAAAAGAAGAGUUGAGAAAAAAAAAAAAAAAAAAAAAAAAAGGAGUUGAAAAAUAUGUGAAAAAGAGUUUUAAAGUGCUACUUGUUGAAGAAAGGGUCCAAAACAUAGAAUUCGGCCCUAAAUAUUGCUUGAAUUUUCCCUUCGUGUCUAAAAGCUGAUUUCUGCAAUCUAAGUGAAUUCUAAGUUUCAAUUUCAUUACUUUACUUGCUAUUGCUUUAAGAACGAUUGUUAUCCUAUCCUUCAUUUGUUAGCCAUCACCCCAAGCCCCGUUAC